CCCCUCGCCCUCCGCCGGCCUCCCCUCGCCGCCCUAGCCGCCGGAUUAGCUCCGGCAAGCCUUGAACCGCAACCCACGAAAUGGGUUUCCAGCUGGUUCGGGCCCGCUUUUGGGCCGUUUCCGGGCCCCGAACCCGAGCCGUGCUUUGGGAAGAAUGCUCCUCGCAUCGCCCCGUCGGAUUGAUCCGAUUUGCGCGCGAUUUGGUAAGUAAUCUCACUAAUCCGGAUUAGUUGGCUAAUUAUGCUUAAGGUUGGUUUAGUUUUAAUUAAUUAGGUUUAGGUGGUUAGAUUAUAAUACAUUAGCAAUUAUUAGUCAAUUGUGAUGCGGUUUAGAUAAAUUAAUUGCGCAAUUAGCAAGUAGACGUGGUCUACUAAUUAUUGGAAGCAUCUCGGGAAUUUUCCGACCCCUAAUCGGGCUUCAAUUUGGCGAUUCGGGACUAAGUGGGAUUUUUGGCAUUUAAAUAUUAUUUUUCGGAAUUAAAUUAAUUAAUUAUUUAUUUUCCGAAAAUUCAACUGGGAUGGCCAGUUACCGGAAUAUUAUGCUGAUGAUCGUGGUGAAGUCUGUUUAUUUAAUUGAGCUUUAUUUUGAGCUAAAUUGAAUUUUUAAUAUUAAUUAUUUAAUUUUCGAAAUUAAUUAAUUAUUUAUUUAUUUUCCGAAAAUUCAAUUGAGAUGGCUAGUGACCGGAAAUUUAUGUUGGUAAUCGUGGUGCAGUCUGUUUAUUUAAUUGGGCCUUAUUUUGAGCUAAACGGAAUUUUUAAUAUUUAAUAAUUCAUUUUCGAAAGAAAUAAAUAAAUAAAUUAUUUUUCGGAAAUUAAGAUUGAGAUGGCCAACGACCGAAAUCUCGUGCUGAUUGUCGGGGCGCAGUCCAUUUAUUUAUUUGAGCUUUAAUUUGUACUGAAUUGAUUUAAUUGUGGAUUUUUAGGAUAUGUUCCUAAAUUGAUUAUUUGGGUAAAUUGAGUACGAAUUAAGGUUGUGGAUAAUUACUUUAGAAAUGAGAUGAAUCAUCAUGAAAGGCACGUGACUCGGUGAUUUGGUAUAUUGCUUCGGAGAAUGCACGUGGCUCGGUGAUUAGUACGUUGCCUUGGAGAAUGCAUGGGGCUUGAUGAUUAGAUAUGUCACCUCGGAGAAUGCACAUGGCUCGGUGACGAAGUAUGUCGCCUUGGAGAAUGCAUGUGGCUCGGUGAUUAAGUGUGGCAUCUUGAAAGAGACACGUGGGCUCGGUAAUUUGAUGCAUUACCUUGGAAAAUGCAUGUGGUCUCAAUGAGUACAUUUGGCAUCUUGAAGAGACACGUGGGCUUGGUGACUUGAUGCAUCGCCUUGGAGAAUGCGCGUGGGCUCGCUGAUUCAAAAUGACAUUUUAAAGAGCAUGUGGCUCGAUGAUCGGUUCCAUCACCUUGGAGAAUGCACGUGGUUCGGUAAUAAAGAAUAUCGUUUCAGAGAAUGCAUGUGACUCGGUGAUUGGUUUUAUCAGUUGAGACUGUAUAGCAAUUACUAGAAUGACCUAGAGAUGGUUCGGCUGACAUGUAAUCGACUAAGUCGAUUGAUCAUUGCCUUAAGUCUGAUGUUGCAAAUUAAUUGACUGAAUGGAAAUGACCGUGAGUGGUCUUGUUGGCUUGUAAUCGACUGGGUCGAUUUGAUCGAUGCUUCGAUCUGUGAUAUGAUUACUUGGGUGCCUAUUGUGAAUUGUACUGACUUACAAGUGGGAUCUGAGGCCAAGGUAAGUCCUUUGACCUGUGCGUGUUUAUGCAGCUUAUAGUAUAAUGGUUUACUAAUUGGGCCUUAGUGGGGUAGAACUCGCUGAGACGUAAUCUCAUCUCGGUUUGGGGAAAACAUUUCAGGACCUCGAUGAGGAGCUGAGGAGAAGGAUUUUUGAAAGAAGAAGAUAAUACUUAGAGAAGUCUUAAAUAUGAUCCGGAUGAACUGAGAUUCUAUCUUCUUUUGAGAUCUCUAAUUUGAUGUGAAUAGAAAUAGAGUAAAAAGUUGUGAAGUACUCUGGUUUGUGUUUUGUAUAAAAGUUUGGUUAUAAGUUUCAAUAUGAAAAAUAUGGCCCUGCUUUUCUAUCC
RNAcentral lists this long non-coding RNA (2063 nucleotides) under Eucalyptus grandis. RNAcentral's name for it is "long non-coding RNA (EGRA_LNC001860)". Lineage: Eukaryota; Viridiplantae; Streptophyta; Magnoliopsida; Myrtales; Myrtaceae. The record is from RNAcentral.